Molecule: RNA transcript, 1880 nt
Organism: Setaria italica (foxtail millet)
Lineage: Eukaryota; Viridiplantae; Streptophyta; Magnoliopsida; Poales; Poaceae
Gene name: ribulose bisphosphate carboxylase/oxygenase activase, chloroplastic
Exons: 4
Source: RefSeq, a predicted model, not a curated record
GGCCAUGGCAGCCGCAGCGGCAGACACACGGCCACCACACGUGCUCCUUUAUUUAAUGCCUUGCAAGGCUCGGCCUCAGUACUUUGAGAAGAGCAGCAGCGGCGGCCAUCAGUGAUAGAUCACUCGUGCCCUUCCUAGCAAGGUCGCCCAAGGAGGAAGAAGAAGCAGCGCAGAGAUGGCGGCCGCCUUCUCCUCCACCGUCGGAGCUCCGGCCUCCACCCCGGCCAGCUUCCUCGGGAAGAAGCUCAGGACGCAAGCGACCGCGGCCGUGAACUACCAUGUCAAGAGCUCCAGCGCCAACAGGUUCAAGGUCAUGGCCGCCAAGGAUGUCGACGAGACCAAGCAGACCGACAAAGACAGGUGGAGGGGCCUCGUCAACGACAUCUCCGACGACCAGCAGGACAUCACCAGGGGCAAGGGUUUCGUCGACUCCCUCUUCCAGGCACCCAUGGGAGACGGCACCCACGAGGCCGUGCUCAGCUCCUACGAGUACCUCAGCCAGGGCUUGAGGGACUACACCGGGUGGGACAACAUGAAGGAUGGCUUCUACAUCGCCCCGGCCUUCAUGGACAAGCUCGUCGUCCACCUCUCCAAGAACUUCAUGACCCUGCCAAACAUCAAGGUGCCCCUCAUCCUGGGUAUCUGGGGAGGCAAGGGUCAAGGGAAAUCCUUCCAGUGUGAGCUUGUCUUCGCCAAGAUGGGCAUCACCCCCAUCAUGAUGAGCGCCGGAGAGCUGGAGAGCGGCAACGCCGGAGAGCCCGCCAAGCUCAUCAGGCAGCGGUACCGUGAGGCCGCCGACAUCAUCAAGAAGGGCAAGAUGUGCUGCCUCUUCAUCAACGAUCUCGACGCCGGUGCCGGUCGCAUGGGCGGGACCACCCAGUAUACCGUCAACAACCAGAUGGUGAACGCCACCCUGAUGAACAUCGCCGACAACCCCACCAACGUGCAGCUCCCCGGCAUGUACAACAAGGAGGAGAACCCCCGUGUCCCCAUCGUCGUCACCGGCAACGACUUCUCCACCCUGUACGCGCCGCUCAUCCGUGACGGCCGUAUGGAGAAGUUCUACUGGGCUCCCACCCGUGAGGACCGGAUCGGUGUCUGCAAGGGCAUCUUCCGCACCGACGGCGUCCCUGAAGCCGACGUCGUCAAGCUCGUCGACACCUUCCCCGGCCAGUCCAUCGACUUCUUUGGCGCCCUGCGUGCCCGGGUGUACGAUGACGAGGUCCGCAAGUGGGUCGCCGAGACCGGCAUCGAGAACAUCGGCAAGAAGCUCGUCAACUCCAAGGACGGCCCGCCGACGUUCGACCAGCCCAAGAUGACGAUCGAGAAGCUCUUGGAGUACGGCCACAUGCUGGUGGAGGAGCAGGAGAACGUCAAGCGUGUGCAGCUUGCUGACAAGUACCUCAGCGAGGCGGCUCUUGGUGAGGCCAACGAGGACGCCAUGAAGACCGGCGCCUUCUUCAAGUAGAAAACCAGGACACACACACCCUCUUGCUAUAGCUAGGCGGCCGGCAUAGGAGGAGGUAAAGCAGCGAAUUGCAAGUCUACCGUACCCAAGGUUGCACCGUCCCGGGUGCCACCAAUGCAACUUGGACCCGACGGCGAGGAUCGACGGUGGCAGCUGCUUUACAACUUUCAAGCUUGCCAUUUUUAUUAUAUCCGAUCUAUGUUCUACCCUUUGUACUAAGAUACCAGAUCUGGCCAAGUGAUAGCUGGGCAUGAAAAGUUUUUGUCAAUGUAAAGAUAUAUAUUGUUGGAUUUAGAGAGAUUCAAUGGGGAUUUGGAGAUGAGAUAGAAGAGAAGCAAAUGGGGGAAUUUCUCAGAGCUUCCAGAGCUGGUGCCCCUCUUCCCCCUUUUAUAAACAAUUUUACAUUCAAGUC